GGCUCAGAUUGAACGCUGGSGGCAUGCCUUACACAUGCAAGUCGAACGGCAGCGCGGGGCAACCUGGCGGCGAGUGGCGAACGGGUGAGUAAUAUAUCGGAACGUGCCCUGGAGUGGGGGAUAACGCAGCGAAAGUUGCGCUAAUACCGCAUACGAUMUAAGGAUGAAAGCAGGGGACCSCAAGGCCUUGUGCUCCUGGAGCGGCCGAUAUCUGAUUAGCUAGUUGGUGGGGUAAAGGCCUACCAAGGCAUCGAUCAGUAGCUGGUCUGAGAGGACGACCAGCCACACUGGAACUGAGACACGGUCCAGACUCCUACGGGAGGCAGCAGUGGGGAAUUUUGGACAAUGGGCGCAAGCCUGAUCCAGCAAUGCCGCGUGAGUGAAGAAGGCCUUCGGGUUGUAAAGCUCUUUUGUCAGGGAAGAAACGGUGGGGGCU
This 436-nucleotide ribosomal RNA is filed under the name Massilia sp. R-42712. RNAcentral's name for it is "bacterial SSU rRNA". It matches the Rfam family "Bacterial small subunit ribosomal RNA", at positions 21 to 461 of the family's 1533-position model. Lineage: Bacteria; Pseudomonadati; Pseudomonadota; Betaproteobacteria; Burkholderiales; Oxalobacteraceae. The record is from RNAcentral.